This 117-nucleotide ribosomal RNA is filed under the name Neobacillus citreus. RNAcentral also lists the same sequence under 1 other name. The record is from RNAcentral. Lineage: Bacteria; Bacillati; Bacillota; Bacilli; Caryophanales; Bacillaceae.
UCUGGUAGCAAUGGCGAGAAGGUCACACCCGUUCCCAUCCCGAACACGGAAGUUAAGCUUCUCAGCGCCAAUGGUAGUUGGGGCAAAAGCCCCUGUGAGAGUAGGACGCUGCCGGGC